Molecule: small RNA, 331 nt
Filed under: Histoplasma capsulatum
Lineage: Eukaryota; Fungi; Ascomycota; Eurotiomycetes; Onygenales; Ajellomycetaceae
Also listed under: 1 other name
Description: hypothetical RNA
Source: RNAcentral
GCCCCCUAAGCAUAGAAUACUGGCGAUACAUAUACGAAACAGUAAAAUAAACGGUCGCUCCAGAAAGCCGGGCCAAGCUUGAUAACUCCGGCGGUAGCGUUGGUAUUGGUAUUGGUGUGGUGGUAGUUGUGGUGGUAGUGGCUCUCGGACCGGAUAAAAGCCUUCCAAGCUUCCGAGGUUAAGAAUCAAAAGGGCCGCGGACAACAUCUCACCCGAAACUCUAGCCACCGGCGGAUCAGCGGCGGGAUUGGAAGGAUGAAAUCCGGGAGAGGCUCGACUGAAUUUAACUCAACGACUCCAGAGAGCAAACCCGAAGAGAGUUGCGACUAAG